This 161-nucleotide ribosomal RNA is filed under the name uncultured actinomycete. Its description in RNAcentral is "partial 16S ribosomal RNA". It matches the Rfam family "Bacterial small subunit ribosomal RNA", at positions 355 to 532 of the family's 1533-position model. The record is from RNAcentral. Lineage: Bacteria; Bacillati; Actinomycetota; Actinomycetes; Actinomycetales.
CAGGGAAUCUUGCCCAAUGGGCGAAAGCCUGAYRCASCCACGCCGCGUGGGGGAUGAAGGCCUUCGGGUUGUAAACCCCUUUCAGGRGGGAAGAAAUUGACGGUACCUCCACRAGAAGGACCGGCCAACUWCCUGCCAGCAGCCGCGGGAAUAANUCCGGG